This is a non-coding RNA of Triticum aestivum (bread wheat), 115 nucleotides long. NCBI's taxonomy places the organism in Eukaryota, Viridiplantae, Streptophyta, Magnoliopsida, Poales, Poaceae. The record is from Rfam.
ACAGCACUCCCUCCGAUCCAUAUUACUUGUCACUCAUAUGGAUAUAUCUAGAGUUAAAAUGCGUCUAGAUACAUCCAUUUGAGCGACAAGUAAUAUGGGUCGGAGGGAGUAGAUA